AUUGAACGCUGGCGGCAUGCCUUACACAUGCAAGUCGAACGGCAGCACGGGAGCAAUCUUGGUGGCGAGUGGCGAACGGGUGAGUAAUAUAUCGGAACGUGCCCAGUCGUGGGGGAUAACGGAGCGAAAGCUACGCUAAUACCGCAUACGAUCUAUGGAUGAAAGCGGGGAACCGCAAGACCCUGCGCGAUCGGAGCGGCCGAUAUCAGAUUAGGUAGUUGGUGAGGUAAAGGCUCACCAAGCCGACGACCUGUAGCUGGUCUGAGAGGACGACAAGCCACACUGGGACUGAGACACGGCCCGGACUCCUACGGGAGGCAGCAGUGGGGAAUUUUGGACAAUGGGCGCAAGCCUGAUCCAGCAAUGCCGCGUGCAGGAUGAAGGCCUUCGGGUUGUAAACUGCUUUUGUACGGAACGAAACGGCGAGCUCUAAUACAGUUUGCUAAUGACGGUACCGUAAGAAUAAGCAUCGGCUAACUACGUGCCAGCCGCCGCAGUAA
RNAcentral lists this ribosomal RNA (500 nucleotides) under uncultured bacterium. Its description in RNAcentral is "partial 16S ribosomal RNA". It matches the Rfam family "Bacterial small subunit ribosomal RNA", at positions 30 to 523 of the family's 1533-position model. The record is from RNAcentral.